This 3256-nucleotide long non-coding RNA is filed under the name Sorghum bicolor (sorghum). Its description in RNAcentral is "long non-coding RNA (SBIC_LNC005630)". The record is from RNAcentral. Lineage: Eukaryota; Viridiplantae; Streptophyta; Magnoliopsida; Poales; Poaceae.
GGCUAACAAAGCGCUACCAAACAUAUCCUUAGAUUAAUAAAAGACACGAGUCUGAAAUUAGAAAUCCAUUUCAAUACAUGGUGAUGCUUUGAACAUAUCACCAUCGUAGGCCUUAUUACACAAUUUUUUUUAAAAAAAAAUCAUCUGACACCAAAUAUAUUUGUCCAAAUACAAAUACUGAACUUUUAACUGGCGGGAUCUUAUUUAUUUAUUUGGUUCCAACUGACCAACUCACUGAAGCACUGAACGUAUCCACUAUCCAGCAUAGUGCAUCCACAAUCAAGUAGAUUUACAGAUACAUAUAGUCAUAUUCAGUACGUUCAGGUAGAACCAGCGGCCGCAAUCCAUUUAGCCCGAAACCCCUUGUACUGCUCCAGGACCUUCCCCGCGUCCGGCGUCACCUUCUUCACGGCGUCCACGGCCACGAACCGCUCCGCCCACGCCGCCAAGCCCGGGAACUUGGCCCCGUCCAGAAGGUCGGUGCCUCCCACCUCGUCUACCACUCUGAUCCAAAUCAGGUGGCUCCCGAGCGCGAUGUCCACGAUCCCGACGGCGUCGCCGCCGAAGAACGCCUUCCCCCUGGAGCACUCCGCGAACGCCCGUUCCAACGUCUCCACCGCAGGGACGGCGCUCUGGAGCGCCUCCGCUCUCUGCUCGUCCGUCAGCGAUCUGAACAGCACCCUAAACGCCGGAAAAAACUACAAACAGAAGAUUGAAGCGCUGAUAACUUGAUAAGCCAUGACUGAAAAAACAUCAGCGAACAUAGCGAGGCUGAUCUGAUCGAAGGCCAGAAAAUCGAUUCGUUUCCUCUGCUGCUUACCUUGUCGUUGACGUAGGCCGCCCAGAACCGUGCCGUGGCGCGGUCGUAGGGGUCGGCUGGGAGGAGCGGAGGAGGACCGGUCGUCGUCGGCCACGACUCGUCGAGGUACUGCAGGAUCACGAGCGACUCGCGCACCGGGCGGCCGCCGUGGAUGAGGACCGGCACCUUCUUGUGCACCGGGUUGGACCGGAGCAGGAGGUCGCUCUUGUUGGCGAGGUCCUCCUCGAGGUAGUCGUAGCUCAGGCCCUUGAGCCCCAGCGCCACCCUCACUCGGAUCACCCAUGGGCUCGACCAUGUGCCCAGCAGGAGCAGCUCGCCGCCGGCUCCUGGCGCUGCCAUUGCAGUUUGCAGAGGUUUGCUUCGUGGUAUCGUGUGCCGCUGAGUGGUGGUGGGGAUCGAGUUGUAUAUGUACGAGUGUAUGAGGUGAUGACCAAGGUUUGACUAGCAGCAGCGAGUCGAGAACUCGAGAUUCAUGUGGGCGACUUGGAAUUUGUGGGUGGUCCUUUCUCGUCGCCAGUCGCCACUGCUUGUUGGAAAAGAGGUGCCGCGAUUGCGCCAGCGCUGUCGUGUUUUAGGAAAGGAUGUUCUGCGCGCCCAUUGUGCCCGUGGAGGAUUUGGGACUGAGUGAACGAUGGGAAGGGCAGCGGUUUCUAAAAGUCAACGCUUCUUCCAGCUCCGUAACACCAGUCUCGAUUAAUAAUUUCACGGCGAUGUCAUAUAGAAUAAAAUAAAACUUAGAUAAAAUAUUUUGUCCCAAUGUAAAGUUUCAUUCAAAACUUCUACUGAGACUGCUCUCUUAUAAUUCUGUCACACUUCCGUAGCUAGUGAAUGGUUGUGCAUAUAGUGCUAACAACUUUAUAAUAUUUACACUUAUAUGGACGUUGUUGGAUUCACCUCAAUCCACAUGUGUUGAUAUGAUUUAGGAUUCAAUCUACCUAACACAUGUGGAUUGAUGUGAAUCUGUAAACAAGGUCUUAGAUGUUUUUAACUUCAAAGUGAUAUAUGCAAAUAGUUUGUUUAUUUUUAUUGUAACUGUCUACUCUAUGUACCGCACUGCAUUCAUCAACAUAAACUCCAUUUAGGUAGAGUCGACUAAUUUAUUGGCUAAGUUAUUGUCGUCUCUCCUUUUUCUUUUUCACCACUCCUACCCAUGGUUGUGCAACUUGUGUAGAGGCAAAAUCGAGUUAGCUAUUCAGUUUUGUUUCGACGAGUUAGCUCCAUUCCUCGAUAAAACCAGGAUUCAAAUCUCUUAAAAAAUUAUUUUAUCCUUCGCCCUCUAUUUAAAUUUAAAUUUUAGGUUCCCUUGUACUUUCUCAUACGGAUCCAUAGUUCAGUUUUUGUCCUAAAACAUGGCGAGAUUUGUCACAAUGUGUUGCGCAUGUCUACUGGAGCCACUUCUGCCUUCCCAAACGAAUAGUGGAGUAUUAUUGACGCCAAUCAACUGCUAAUCUUAGAAUUAUUGAGACGGUGACGUUUCCAGGUCGUUGCAAAUUUUUUUCGUCAACACACACAGCACUGUCCUGCUGAAGGGAGGUAGAUGCAGAGCAUGAAGCGGGCAGCAUCUGGUGGGAGAGUGGAAGAUUGAUGUGCUGAUCAAGAAUCGAUUUUUUUAGGCUUUGUUUAGUUCGUAAAAAUUUUCAAGAUUUCCUGUCACAUCAAAUCUUUGGUCGCAUGCAUGGAGCAUCAAAUAUAGACGAAAAUAAAAACUAAUUGCACAGUUUAUCUGUAAUUUGUGAGAUGAAUCUUUUGAGUCUAGUUACACUGUGAUUGGACAAUGUUUGUCAAAUAAAAACGAAAGUGCUACAGUAGCCAAAAACCAAUUUUUUUGCCAACUAAACAAGGCCUUAAUCUGAUCAUGAAUCAGGUUUGGCCUGAGCAAGUCAGGCUUCUUAAGGCUCCGUUGGCUUUUCUUAUCAUCCAACAAACAGUAAUUUUCGACUGUAUCGAUUUCAGAGAAGGAUGGAUGAUGCAUUGAUCAUCUCACCAUUUGUCCAUUUCGUAUGUCUUUUAGACAAAUUCGCAGACCACUUGACACCAAAUACUUCUCCAAGUACAAAUACUCCAAUUAAGCAGGUGUUACAACUUCGGAGUACUGGAUCUCAUGGAUUUAUGGGUCAGACACCGGCUCACUGAAUGCAAGUAGGCACACAGUGUGUUCAGCUAGAAUCAGCUGCUGCAGUCCAUCUAGCCCGAGACGCCCUGUACUGCUCCAAAAGCUUCCCGGCGUCCGGCACCACCCUGUUCACGGCGUCCACGGCCAUGAACCGCUCCGCCCACGCCGCCAGGCAAGGGAAUUUGGCCCCGUCCAGAAGGUUGGUGCCUGCCGUCUCGUCCACCGCUCUCAUCCAGAUCGGGUGGCUCCCGAGCGUGAUGUCCACGAUCCCGACGGCGUCGCCGCCGAAGAACGCCUUCCCCUUGGAGCACUCCCUGAACGCC